AACAUGUACGCAACCUUCCUUUAACUGGAGAAUAGCCCCUCGAAAGAGGGAUUAAUACUCCGUAACAUUAUGAAGUGGCAUCACUUCAUAAUUAUAGCUCCGGCGGUUAAAGAUGGGCGUGCAACUGAUUAGAUAGUUGGCGGGGUAACGGCCCACCAAGUCUGCGAUCAGUAACUGGUGUGAGAGCACGACCAGUCACACGGGCACUGAGACACGGGCCCG
RNAcentral lists this ribosomal RNA (222 nucleotides) under uncultured bacterium. RNAcentral describes it as "partial 16S ribosomal RNA". It matches the Rfam family "Bacterial small subunit ribosomal RNA", at positions 112 to 334 of the family's 1533-position model. The record is from RNAcentral.